GACGAACGCUGGCGGCGUGCCUAAUACAUGCAAGUCGAACGCAGUGGGGACGGGUGAGUAACACGUGGGUAACCUCCCAUCAGAGGGGAUAACCCUUGGAAACAGUUGCUAAACCGAUACUGAUGUAUGGACCCGCAGUGCCUUAGCUAGUUGGUGAGGUAACGGCUCACCAAGGCAACGAUGCAUAGCCGACCUGAGAGUGUGAAAGGCCAUGAUGGGACUGAGACACGGACCAGACUCCUACGGGAGGCAGCAGUAGGGAAUCUUGGGCAAUGGACGAAAGUCUGACCGAGCAAAGCCGCGUGAGUGAAGAAGGUUUUCGGAUCGUAAAACUCUGUUGUUAGAGAAGCGGUAUCUAACCAGAAAGCCACGGCUAACUACGUGCCAGCAGCCGCGGUAAGUC
RNAcentral lists this ribosomal RNA (403 nucleotides) under uncultured bacterium. RNAcentral describes it as "partial 16S ribosomal RNA". It matches the Rfam family "Bacterial small subunit ribosomal RNA", at positions 28 to 526 of the family's 1533-position model. The record is from RNAcentral.